AUUGAACGCUGGCGGUAGGCUUAACACAUGCAAGUCGAGCGGAAACGAAGAAUAGCUUGCUAUUCUGGCGUCGAGCGGCGGACGGGUGAGUAAUGCUUGGGAAUCUGCCUAGUCGAGGGGGACAACAGUUGGAAACGACUGCUAAUACCGCAUACGACCUACGGGUGAAAGGGGGCCUCUUCUUGAAAGCUCUCGCGACUAGAUGAGCCCAAGUGGGAUUAGCUUGUUGGUGAGGUAAGAGCUCACCAAGGCGACGAUCCCUAGCUGGUCUGAGAGGAUGAUCAGCCACACUGGAACUGAGACACGGUCCAGACUCCUACGGGAGGCAGCAGUGGGGAAUAUUGCACAAUGGGCGAAAGCCUGAUGCAGCCAUACCGCGUGUAUGAAGAAGGCCUUAGGGUUGUAAAGUACUUUCAGCGAGGAGGAAAGGUUGGCAAUUAAUACUUGUCAACUGUGACGUUACUCGCAGAAGAAGCACCGGCUAACUCCGUGCCAGCAGCCGCGGUAAUAC
Molecule: ribosomal RNA, 511 nt
Filed under: uncultured bacterium
Lineage: Bacteria
Description: bacterial SSU rRNA
Rfam family: Bacterial small subunit ribosomal RNA
Source: RNAcentral